AUCAGCUCACGGCCUAUCAGCUAGUUGGUGAGGUAAUGGCUCACCAAGGCGACGACGGGUAGCCGGCCUGAGAGGGUGACCGGCCACACUGGGACUGAGACACGGCCCAGACUCCUACGGGAGGCAGCAGUGGGGAAUAUUGCACAAUGGGCGCAAGCCUGAUGCAGCAACGCCGCGUGAGGGACGAAGGCCUUCGGGUUGUAAACCUCUUUUAGCAGGGAAGAAGCGAAAGUGACGGUACCUGCAGAAAAAGCACCGGCUAACUACGUGCCAGCAGCCGCGGUAAUACGUAGGGUGCAAGCGUUGUCCGGAAUUAUUGGGCGUAAAGAGCUC
RNAcentral lists this ribosomal RNA (333 nucleotides) under Agrococcus jenensis. RNAcentral describes it as "bacterial SSU rRNA". It matches the Rfam family "Bacterial small subunit ribosomal RNA", at positions 225 to 570 of the family's 1533-position model. Lineage: Bacteria; Bacillati; Actinomycetota; Actinomycetes; Micrococcales; Microbacteriaceae. The record is from RNAcentral.